UUCUGUCUGCCUCUGAAAUUUUGUUUCCCCUAUUCACACAAACCCUAGACCCUUGCUUUCCCGUUUGGUUUGAUCGUUUGAUUUUUGUUUCAAUGGGUGUUUCAUCAAAUUUUUGUUUCUAGGGUGAAGCCAACUCUCAAAUUUCGAUCUGAAGUCUUCGAUUUCGUAGGUUCUCCACUUCACAACUAUCAAUUAAAGCUUCAUUGAUCUUGGAUUUUCUGGAUAAUUUCUAUUUAAUCGUUGCAGAAGAAAUAUCAUAUGAAUUAUAAAAGAUUAGGGUAUUCAGCUGAAGAGGUUACACCUGAUGAAAUUUAGGAGGCAGAGUUUAAUCACAUAGACGAUGCAGAGGAAAGGAAUAACCCUUGAAUUUAUGAGGGGUUCUAUGGAGAACACAAUCUUUGACCAGCAAACCUGCUAGAAUGUUCUACAGUUUUGGAAUGUUUCUAUGGAGAACAACUGCGAAAUGUAGGAGGCAAAGUUGAGCAUCUUAGGAGCACUGAUCUUAGGAGCACUGCAUUAGCUGAUACAUUAUCCAGAUGAAUGAUUUAUAAUUAUAAAUUUUUGACGGACAAUGGAGCGAGUAGACACAACUCAUUAGAGUCUUCAUUCCAGAAUGAGCAUUAUAUUUGCGUAAGAAUUAGGAAACUUCUGUUGUCUCAUUGAUGUAACACAAUCUAUUCACUGCUGCAAAGUUAGACGAUCAA
Papaver somniferum (opium poppy) is the source of this 704-nucleotide long non-coding RNA. RefSeq lists it as uncharacterized. The record is from RefSeq and is a predicted model, not a curated record. The transcript has 5 exons. Lineage: Eukaryota; Viridiplantae; Streptophyta; Magnoliopsida; Ranunculales; Papaveraceae.